CAAAGGCUAGCAGACUUUACAAACAUAUAGCAAGAAACUAUUAUUCUGAAGUCGCCAACAUGGUGUUAGAAGAAUUUAAGUCAUUGUAUGCAUGUGGUUGGCAAGGAUUAACCUGUAAUUUUCCACUUUGACUAAUUUCUUUUUGAGUCUCAAGUUUGGUUUAUCACAGCCAUGAUCUUGCUCUAAGAUAGCACAUAUGUAAAGUGUUAAACUGGAGCAUAGGAGUUCAGGAUGGAAGAGUCUAUUGUGUUAUUACACUUGGUGGAUUAUCUUUGGACAGUUAAUUUCUCUCAUCUUGAGAGAGAGUCAAAGAGGAGGUUAACCAUAUACCAUGUUGCACCAAAAGCCCAUUAAAAGGAAGGUAGUAAAUAAAUGGCAUUAAAAAAAAUCAAACAAUCAAUAUUACUACCCUUUGACAUUUAAUCAUGGGUCUCUGCAUAAUCUUCUUUUAAUUUAUAUAGAAGGUUGCCUUCCUUUUAAAUAGAAAAGUAGUCCAUAUGAAUCAUAUGUGAAUCAUGAAUCAAUUAAUAUUUUUCUUGAGAAAAUUAUCAGUGGUUUCAUGUGAUAAAAUCCUAAAUUAAUCUUUUCUCCUUAACAGGAUAAAUAUGGGAAACCACUGAUUAUUUUCAUAGAAUCAUAGAAUCUAUCUAUUUAGGAUUUUAUCACAUGAAGUUUCUAUCCCAUGGUGCUCAGGUGAUCAUAAUGACAACAUACCAUCAGAGCACAUCUCUGUAUCCAUGCAACUUUGACAAUAUGCCUAUCCACAGUCCUACUUCUGCAUGACCUCAUAACUCCAUCCUCCCACACUUCUGAAAUCUCAAUAGUAUUUGCAAUUUUAAAUUUCCAACAUGUUUAAUAAACAGAUAAAAAAAUUGAUUUUAUCUGAUUUUCAAAAUUUCAGUCUCAAGAAGAGCAAGGAGGAGUGGUAGAGGAGGAGAAUCCCAUCCCCAGACAUCACUUCCAUGCUGGCCUACCAGCACAAAAGCUGAACAGACCUAUCACAUCAGGACAUGCAUUUCCUUCUCCAACUACAGAGCCAACUCCUUGAUUGUCUGACUCUUGACUUUCAUCACGUGAGGAGAAGACAUGUUAACUCAGCAAUGAAAGUGCAGCACAGAAAGAUGGAAGUGACAUACCUGUCAACCUUUAAGGACAGAUGCUAUAGCUCUGGGACAUGAAAGGAACCAUGGUUGCAAACAGAAGAAAAAUGGCUUCCAGUAGACCACCAAUGAGUGAAGCAAGCAAUGCCUGAAAGCAAUGGCUACAGAAAUAUGGACUUUGAGACUGGGGACAUCAAGGGAGGUUGAGGUUUUUCAUGUCUUGGGAUUUUGAACAUGUUUGGAACUGGGAAUAACUGUGAAGAUUUGGGGGGAUUAAGCUAAAAAAAAUCCACAUUCUGUUGAGUUGAUUCUGUCAGUUAACUUAGUGGCUCAAGGUGAAGGACAUUUUAAAAUACUUCAAUGUUCAGAAAAACAUCUUGAAAUGAAAGGUGUGUGGCUGAAUGAGACGGGCCCAAUCAUCACAAGACAGCCAUGAAUGAGUCCUACCCAUCUUCCCACAUUGACAUUCCUCUUUUGUGCCCUGCACUACCAAAGGAAGUGUAAACAAAUAUACCAUAGUAUGCAGUAUGCAUUUACUAGAUUAUUUUUGAUGUUCAAAUUGCUGUCACUUCAUGUCAAACAGGUUAGAUUGGAGAUGGUUUGGGGUUUUAUUUUCUUUGCUUCUUCCAAAACCACGUGGUUCUAUAGUAGGUGUGACUGUAUACAAAUGUUAGCUAGAUCUGGCUGGAUAUUGACUUCUAACCAACAGGAGCUUUCUCAGUAGCACUUUUGUUCAUAUAUCAUCAGAUUUCCCUGAGAGAUGUAGUAGUGCUAAGCUCCUGUGGGAGAACCACGUGGGAAAACGUGCAUGAUGCAUCAAUACAACCAAAAGAACAUUGCUUUUGAUUCUUUGUAUUGUAUUUCUCCAACUAGAUUCUAGUUUUACUACUGGGUCUUUACAGUUUAUUGUGUAUUAUACAGAGUCUAUGGUUACUAAUGCAUUAUGAAUUUCCUUGAUGACAAGACUUGGGGGGGGGGGGGCUCAAGGAUUCUUGUAUGUGCCAAUGACUUUGAUUGUAUGAGCCCACUUAUUCCUCAUGUUAUCACAUUUGUGGUGACUCAUGAGAGGCUGUGUCAGCUGCUGCUAUAUUUUUUUAAAAAUGGCAUUCUUCAGUUACAAAACCAAUUGUAGCAAAGUGUUUUCAAACAAAGAUAUUUUUUUCUUCUGUAGAUUUCUACAAUAAAAUAUAUGCAUACAUAGACAAAAACAAAAAAACCUGACCACAACAAGCCCUGAGAUGGCCAGACCUCACAAGCCCUCUAAACAAUUCAAAAUAGAUGAAUUAUUUGGGGAGGAACCGUGAGACAUCAAUUGUAGAGUAUGUGUCGGCAGAUCAAGGAGGAAGCAUGAAUGUGUGGGUUUACCUUUCCUUGCCUGAUUCUGAUUUCACCAUCAAUCCCAAGACACAAACCUUCCUUGGUAGCAAUAGAAAUUCCAACCCAGCACUAAUACAAGGGAGCAAUUUUCAUUUUUUGAUGGGAACUUCCUUGUUCCUUUGAAGCUGCUUUUCUGCUCUCUGUAGCAUACACCCUGUCACAUGUCUUCAUAGGACACAAUGGCAACAUUAGAAAUGUCAGUGCAUUGGAAAUGAAAUGUCCUUUACUCUAGUAUGGCACCUGAAGUAUUUGCCUGAUUUUGUGCAGAAGAUUUUAACCAUUUGAAAAUUGCCAUGCUUAUGCCAAUACAGUUUAUUAUCCCUGAACUGCACACUGGGGGCUGAGUGCUAUGACUGAAAGAGAAUAGCUCUGCUGUGGGUUUGAUUUUUACUGUUAAAUAUUUAGAUAAAUUAUAGCUGUGGGAUGGUAUAAACAGAAUCCAAUCUGCCACAUGGAUCAGCUACACACAGCAAGGAAUAUGUUAAAAUUUGCCUUGUCUAAGAAAGAAGAAAUUGAUAAAUGAUAUCCCAACCUAUGGAAAUAAAUUGAGGUUACUUAAUAGACUCAAAGCUUCUUACAGAAUGUAUUUCCCUUAGGGUUUGUUCUCCUUUUCUCCUUUGAGGUCCAACUACAUGUUAUAUCCGAAACCAUUCCAUCCAGGUCUGAUAACUUAUUUUCUUCUUGCAAAUCACAAUGUGGACAUCUGGAAAAAAUAGCAGGAGAUGUUUGGUUAUUUUAUCUCAAAUGGUCUAGUCUCCCAUUAGCAGCAUUCAGCAUGACCAAUGACAUGGAAUGGUGAAAGUUAUAAUGAAAAUUGUAGUCCAAAAUAUCAGGGGUACAUCUACAUUGCAGAAUUACAUAAGUCCGAAAUCACUUUAGCUGCAAUGGCUGUAUGCUACUGAAUCCUGAAAUUUGUAAUUUCAUUAUGUGUUUAGAAUUCUUUGCUCCAGAGCUUUAGUGCUGUAGUACAAGGGAGUGGACCUGACAAAACUAUGCAAUCCAGGUUCUGUUAAGUGGAUCCAUGAUGUUGUAGCUUUGCUGUGUUCAUACCUUCUUGGGUGACUAAAAAAAAAAUCUGUUCCCUUUCUUAGCAUAGUAUUGGAACCAUUCAUAAACUUAAUGAAAUUUCAAGAUAAUCCCAACCUAGCAAGAUUUAUUUUGUGGGUGCUUGCCAUUCUCUUCCUUUGGAGUUGGAGUGUGACUUGACCAGGGUCAUUCACUGGGUUUCUGUGACUAAGCACGGAUUCUUCCCUACUCUCCCAUCAUCCUAUCCCAACACUGAAACCAUUACAGUAUGGAAAUGCUGCAUGUGUGGACCCAGUCUAAAAAUUCAAUAGCCUUUUCCAAACCUCUUGGAGUGAAAUGUUCAGUGGGAUACGCAUUAUCAAUAGUUGCAUAUCUUAGUAAAACCAUUAUGUCGACUAUAAAUAAAAGACAAGCUAUACCCCAUCCUCUCAGUCAGAGAUAUACAAAGAGUAAUUAAGCUAAGGAAACGUUAAAUUUAUGACUGUUGUUUUAUGCAUGGUGCCCUUACACAAAAUAGUGAUUGACUGACACUUCAGUAUGCCUCUGGAGAGUAUUGCAGUGAUCCUGGGAAGAAAACAUUUGUGUUUGGUGAAUGAAAUGCAAGCAAUGAAGCCAAGAAUGUCCGGGAGCUGAAAAAUUAAAAUGAGAUUCUCUUCCCUUACCUCCCACCAUUGUAUAUCUGCAAAUGGGUUAGCAGUGCUGUUUGAUUAGUCUGGAGAGCAGCAGGAAGAAAACUCAGUGUAGUUUAAGAAGACAACAACAAGAAGAGUGAUAUGUAUAAACACAAGGCAGGGAAUAGACAGCAGCACUUGGAAUGAUAUGAGAGUAGAGAACCAGGUGUUCAGAGACUACACAGAUGUCAUUAUGAUCUUACAUACCAUGCACAAUAAUGAAGGCAUGAUUGAAUGGUGUGCCUUCAUAAAGGCUUAUGUUUGCACAAACUUGUCCUGGUUUAAUUAAAACUGUUAAUUCCACUUAUACAGGUCCUUUUAUAUUCAUUGAAAAAAACCAUUUUCACUUAUGCAGGUUUGUGUUUAUAGAUAUACAGGUCCCAAGAGUAACAUUAAAAUUCCCUGUUUCUGUGAACCAAAGUAUAUUUAACAUGUUUUAGAAGAAGUUGUUGCACAAGAGGAGGAAAAAGUGUAAUUGUCAAAGCAGGUGAUUGUCCUCACUGCUUUUCUUUUUCAUCUAACAUGCCAUCAUUUAUAAUUGGACCAUUAAAGGUAACCACAGUUUUCUUUUGCAUGUCUGAAUGCUGAAGAACACAUAUCUAAGGAAGCCCUAUUGAGGAGGAUUAUGGAUUUAGCACAGGAAAUAUCUAUUCCUUUUAAUGUCUAAUUCUAUUUUAGAUUGGAAAUCUCUUUGGGGAAGUGGCCUUUCAUGGUUGCUCUUUAAGACCAGUGUUUUUGGUGGUGGUAAUACAUAUUAUUUAUGUAUACUGCAGUGUUCUUGGUGGUGGUAGUAAAUAUUUUAAAAUGCCUGUUUCUGAGCAUGUUCCAUUUGCUAAAAUAACAAUGAUUAUGUCACUUCCCACUGCUUUUAUGUCAAUAAACAUACAUAAUUAUGCAAUUGAGGCCCAAUUUUAUAGAUGCUGCAGAAACAAGCAUUUUCCUCCUAUACUAUUUCAGUCACGUUCAAUUCUAGGCUAUGAAUAAUAGAAAAAAAAUUCUGCAACAUGCCAUAGCAAAAUGUAGACUGAAACUUUCUUUGGAUAUAUAGAUUUGCAGCAUACUAAUUUUAGGGGAUGUGGAAUGAACAUGCUGACAAUGGGGUUAAUACACCUGCCAAACACCUCUCCAUUUGCUGCAUAUAGAACAUGGCCAUCAGUUUUUGUAAGACAAGAAGACUCUAUUGUUAUCCCUAGUCAAGCAUUCAAAACAACACAUGAGGUCACAAACUGUGGGAACUAAUAACUAUUAUCUGUAGAAAUGUUCAGGUUUCCCUUUCUUUAAUGUAUCUUAGGAUAAAUGGCUUAGGACCUGAGUAUAUUUAACACAGAGAAGAAGAGUUUAAGAGGUGAAAUGAUAGUUAUGUUUAAAUAUUUGAAGGGAUUGUAUAUUGAGGAUGAAGCCAGCUUCUUUUAUGCUGUUCCAGACACUAACAUGGAGCAAUUGAUUAAAAUAACAGAAAAAAAGACAUUCCACUCAAACAAUAGGAAAAGCUUCUUAAUGUAAGCACUACAGUAGAGUAUGGUGGAGUCUUCAUCCCUGGGGGGUUUGUUAACGGAGGCUAGAUGGCUAUCUGUCAGGAGUGUUUUGAUUAUGUAUUUCUGCAUGGGUGGUCCUUGUGGUCUCUUCCAGUUCUAUUGUUCUAUGAUUAUACGUAUGGCUCAAACCCAACAGACCAUUCAGAAUAACACUUCCAAAUGUUGCAUCCCUUAUCCCUCCACUCUUAAGCCAUUAAACUAGUCAUUCUCAACCUGUGGGUCCCCAGUUGCUUUGGCCUUCAACUCCCAGAAAUCCUAAUAGCUGGCAAACUGACUGGGAUUUCUGGGAGUUGUAGACUCAAACUCCUGGGGACCCACAGGUUGAGAACCAGUGCAUUAAACAUAGUAUGAAGGUCUGGUGGAAAAUUGUAAGUAUGGUAGACUUCCAAGUAGAUUUGGCUGAACACACUUGGAUCCUUCCUUCAUGGUUUGCACUCAUUAUGCAAAGGUUCUCUAUGGAGAGAGUAGCUUGGAUGUUUACAGCUAUGUUCUUUUCAGUGACUUGCAUGAGUGUUUGUGGCACAGGUCCAUGAAGGGAAAACUUGCUCAAUUCCUACCUCAAGCAGCAGACUACGACAUCGUAAUGACUGCUGUCAGUAGGACCAUGGUAUCCCAAUGGCACACUUGAAUGCAUUCAUUGGCAUCUAAACCAUUUGCUUCCGGGACAGAGGAUUAAGUGCUAUAUCUAAUUGUUAGUUCUCCCUCCACCAAAACAGAACCAUUUAAAACAACAGAACACAUAUAAAUGUUGAUUCAUUUCUAAAAAUAAAUAAUAAUUGUUGAUAAUACUGACAAUUGGAUGAAUCCUACUCUAUUGGAUGAAUAGCAUUUCUUCAUAGAAACAAAACACAAUACUAUUUUUGUACAUAAAAUGCUGGUUUGUGUCCAAAACAAUUGCAUGUGCCUUUUGUGAAAAAUAGGUCCUGAAUUGCAAAUAUCAUCAGCCCCCUGAAUCUCCUGAUAUUAAAAAAUAAAAUAAAAUAUUUUUA
Molecule: long non-coding RNA, 6698 nt
Organism: Anolis carolinensis (green anole)
Lineage: Eukaryota; Metazoa; Chordata; Lepidosauria; Squamata; Anolidae
Exons: 2
Source: RefSeq, a predicted model, not a curated record